UUUCUUUGUAGCUUAUUAUUUAAAGCUUAAGAUUUUUAACCUUAGGAAGCAUUUAAUGUCAAAGGAAU
This 68-nucleotide transfer RNA is filed under the name Meretrix lyrata. Its description in RNAcentral is "tRNA-Lys". It matches the Rfam family "tRNA". Rfam says of the family: Transfer RNA (tRNA) molecules are approximately 80 nucleotides in length. Their secondary structure includes four short double-helical elements and three loops (D, anti-codon, and T loops). Lineage: Eukaryota; Metazoa; Mollusca; Bivalvia; Venerida; Veneridae. The record is from RNAcentral.